AAGUCCAGGGUCUAUAAAAACCUUUUGGGGAUUUGCACUCCGCGUACUGAACUA
Molecule: transfer RNA, 54 nt
Filed under: Trioceros wiedersheimi
Lineage: Eukaryota; Metazoa; Chordata; Lepidosauria; Squamata; Chamaeleonidae
Description: tRNA-Cys
Source: RNAcentral